CGCGUAGGUGGGAAAGGUAGUCAAAUGUGAAAUCCCGGAGCUCAACUCCGGAACUGCAUCUGAAACUCCUUUUCUUGAGGGUAGGCGGAGAAAUAGAAUUCCACAAAUAGCGGUGAAAUGCGUAGAUAUGUGGAAGAAUACCUGUGGCGAAAGCGAUUUUCUAGCUUAUUCCUGACACUGAGGCGCGAAAGCAAGGGGAUCAAAACA
Molecule: ribosomal RNA, 207 nt
Filed under: uncultured bacterium
Lineage: Bacteria
Description: partial 16S ribosomal RNA
Rfam family: Bacterial small subunit ribosomal RNA
Source: RNAcentral